UACGUAGGGUGCAAGCGUUGUCCGGAAUUAUUGGGCGUAAAGAGCUCGUAGGCGGUUUGUCGCGUCGAAUGUGAAAACCCGGGGCUCAACCCCGGGCCUGCAUUCGAUACGGGCAGACUAGAGUUCGGUAGGGGAGUCUGGAAUUCCUGGUGUAGCGGUGGAAUGCGCAGAUAUCAGGAGGAACACCGGUGGCGAAGGCGGGACUCUGGGCCGAUACUGACGCUGAGGAGCGAAAGCGUGGGGAGCAAACAGG
This 253-nucleotide ribosomal RNA is filed under the name uncultured bacterium. RNAcentral describes it as "partial 16S ribosomal RNA". It matches the Rfam family "Bacterial small subunit ribosomal RNA", at positions 524 to 776 of the family's 1533-position model. The record is from RNAcentral.